AACCGUGUGCCUACAAGUAGUUAGAGCCCGUUAAUGGGUGAUAGCGUGCCUUUUGUAGAAUGAACCGGCGAGUUACGAUUACGUGCGAGGUUAAGUUGAGAAGACGGAGCCGCAGCGAAAGCGAGUCUGAAUAGGGCGAAUUAGUACGUGGUCGUAGACCCGAAACCAGGUGAUCUACCCAUGUCCAGGGUGAGGGUGAGGUAACACUUACUGGAGGCCCGAACCCACGUACGUUGAAAAGUGCGGGGAUGAGGUGUGGGUAGCGGAGAAAUUCCAAUCGAACCUGGAAAUAGCUGGUUCUCUCCGAAAUAGCUUUAGGGCUAGCC
Molecule: ribosomal RNA, 326 nt
Filed under: Pseudomonas aeruginosa
Lineage: Bacteria; Pseudomonadati; Pseudomonadota; Gammaproteobacteria; Pseudomonadales; Pseudomonadaceae
Description: partial 23S ribosomal RNA
Rfam family: Bacterial large subunit ribosomal RNA
Source: RNAcentral